Molecule: ribosomal RNA, 733 nt
Filed under: uncultured Providencia sp.
Lineage: Bacteria; Pseudomonadati; Pseudomonadota; Gammaproteobacteria; Enterobacterales; Morganellaceae
Description: bacterial SSU rRNA
Rfam family: Bacterial small subunit ribosomal RNA
Source: RNAcentral
AGCAAACAGGAUUAGAUACCUGGUAGUCACGCUGUAAACGAUGUCGAUUUGAAGGUUGUUCCCUUGAGGAGUGGCUUUCGGAGCUAACGCGUUAAAUCGACCGCUGGGGAGUACGGCCGCAAGGUUAAAACUCAAAUGAAUUGACGGGGGCCCGCACAAGCGGUGGAGCAUGUGGUUUAAUUCGAUGCAACGCGAAGAACCUUACCUACUCUUGACAUCCAGAGAAUUUAGCAGAGAUGCUUUAGUGCCUUCGGGAACUCUGAGACAGGUGCUGCAUGGCUGUCGUCAGCUCGUGUUGUGAAAUGUUGGGUUAAGUCCCGCAACGAGCGCAACCCUUAUCCUUUGUUGCCAGCACGUAAUGGUGGGAACUCAAAGGAGACUGCCGGUGAUAAACCGGAGGAAGGUGGGGAUGACGUCAAGUCAUCAUGGCCCUUACGAGUAGGGCUACACACGUGCUACAAUGGCGUAUACAAAGAGAAGCGAACUUGCGAGAGUAAGCGGAACUCAUAAAGUACGUCGUAGUCCGGAUUGGAGUCUGCAACUCGACUCCAUGAAGUCGGAAUCGCUAGUAAUCGUAGAUCAGAAUGCUACGGUGAAUACGUUCCCGGGCCUUGUACACACCGCCCGUCACACCAUGGGAGUGGGUUGCAAAAGAAGUAGGUAGCUUAACCUUCGGGAGGGCGCUUACCACUUUGUGAUUCAUGACUGGGGUGAAGUCGUAACAAGGUAACCA